RNAcentral lists this long non-coding RNA (297 nucleotides) under Gallus gallus (chicken). RNAcentral describes it as "long non-coding RNA NONGGAT003641". Lineage: Eukaryota; Metazoa; Chordata; Aves; Galliformes; Phasianidae. The record is from RNAcentral.
CCCUGUGGUGCAAUUAUUGCUGCUAAAAGAGUGAAGAGAUGGCCGACAGGUGGGAUGUCCUUGCCAACAAACAGACCCAGUGAUGUGUCUGAGAGGGUUUUAUCCUGCACCAGCUUCCCCAAGAGCAAGCAAACACACAAAGCAACCAUCUCACAGACCACCAUUUUUACACAGCUGGGAUUUCCAAGGCAAGACUUUUCCUGUCUCAGUGCUGCCUUCUCCCUUUGCCAGCAGGAUACAACUUAGACUUGAGGUUGCAAGCAGGAACAAGAGGAUAGGUUAAGCCUUCAGAGUGAC